AGACAAUAGCAUAGUUUUUGUUCAUCAGGAAAAGUCCCAGGGAUUGUGUAAGUCACAGGAAACAGUGGGGCAGGAGGGCAGGAUGUACUGCUAUUAGUAGAUAGUGGAAUUGAGAGAUCUUUGAAAGCUGCGUUACCAUAUUUGGAGAAGUUAUUGCAGGGUUAACGCUACCUCGGAGGAAAAAGAAUAGGAGCUUUCCUCAAAUGACCACCGGACAGCAGAAAAAAGACCCCUAGCAACACGCCGCGCAGAUGCAGAGCACGUCGAGAAUAUCACAAAGUCCGGAACUGAAGGGGUAUAAGAACUGAAAGACCGGGAGGUGCGGUGCGAGCCAUUGGUGGGAGCAGAGGCUCCCCGGCCGCCCAGCGCUGCAUUUGCCCGUACUGCUUGCUUGCUAAAUUAAUAAAAUUCUCUUUAUAAAGUGACACAAAUUGGUCCCGUGUCAUAAUUUAUAACAAUAUUUGGUGCCGUGACUCGGAUAGAGAAAUAGCCUGGUUGUUCUGGGACCCUCGGGAGGCGCCCCGCCUUUUUUUUGGCGGCCCGAUUGUCCCAGACCUCCCGGUCUCUCUACCGACGAACCUAAAUUAAGCUGCGGGCAAAGGAGAGCCGGUUAAAAGGAGAACCGGUUACCCCUGUAAACUUUGUGCACGAAGAUCCGAGCGAAGACGCAGGACGCAAACUGCUAUCAGAACAGCUGAGAAGGGGUGGACUCAUGCGAGCCACGUCAAAGGUCCAGUCACCACAGACGACCACUGGAAAGUGACCAGCCAGCCUGGGGACUUGAAGGUUACCAUUAAGAGAAACUGAUGAACUCUGUAUACAUCAUUCAAGUCGGUCACAAAGGGGAGCAAGAGGGAUAUAAUUACCUGCUUGUUAGUGAUUAUUUGAUAAUUUGUAAUAAGGUAAACUGUGAUUGUUAUCCUUUUGUAUGCUUUGCAUGUAAAGUUUGCCAAGAACGGUGGGGAGUCCAGUGCCGAAGGGGGAGGCUGCCCACUGGGGUUUGUACAGAAUGUUACACGACUGAACGAGAAUUAACCGAAGCUGUGUUGAAAUUAGGGGAGUGGGAAAUCAGUGGAUUCCCUUUGAAUCUGAGGAAAAUUUACACCAGAGGGGUGCAUCCAGAAAACUUUUGUUUCCACUCUAACGAGCCCCCUCCAUUUGUUGCCCAAAUUAUAAAAGAGUGUUGUCGGAGGGAACUAAAGGGGGUCCCGUGUGACCCACCCCCGGUCAAGGAUAAGAACUGGGAACAGUACAAAGUUAGGCAGGAGCAGGGGGAAUGGGCGCUCAGGCGAGUACCGCUGCUGCCGAGAAGAUGGUUUACCCCGCGGCUCGAAGCACCCGAGUCGGCGGGCGAGGCAGAGGGGAAAGAGCCAGGCCCCCAAAAAUAGAAUAAUGCUGAAAUGUUCCAACUAUUGCCAGCCAAGUACUAAGUUCCUCCAGAAGACCAGUCUGAUUACCCCCGAGACACCAACAGGGCAACAAACCCAAAAGGGGAAAAUAAGACAUUAUAUAGUAAAUGCAAGGUCAGGACUCCACCCUUAUUGACAAAUUACUGGUAUUACAAUUUUUUUUUUUACCCUAUACUAAGGAGAGGGCUCCCAAGCUUUACAUCAACCUUUUAAGUGGACACUAACCCGAGUGGAUGGUGUGGGAAUUCAGAACCAGAUAACAUCCAGAUCCCCUAGUUUUAACCCACAGUUAUGUGAACUAGCCCCUAUAGAGCCUUGUUUGGAUAGAAACGGAUUUUAUAUGUGCCCAGCAUCAAACCCAGGGAAAGGGUAUUGCAACUACCCUGGAGAAUAUUUCUGUGGGCACUGGGGCUGUGAAACAAUAGCUUCAGAUUGGUCAGUAGCAGGAGAUAAAUUCCUUAAAGUAUCAUGGAGGCCUUAUGGAUAUAAACCUCUGCAGAAGGAUUCCAGUGGUAAAAUUGUGAACUCAGAGAACUGUCAUUAUUAAGGAAAGGCUAGAAGCAUCACACCUGAUGCUGAUUAGAGCAAAAUAUGAGUCAAUACCAGAAAACCUAGAAAUGGAAGAGAUCCUAGUUAUAAGCCACCAAGAAUUACAAAGGUUUGAUGAACAAAAUGAUGAAAAGACAAAAGGGGGGAUUUGUGAAAGACAAUAGCAUAGUUUUUGUUCAUCAGGAAAAGUCCCAGGGAUUGUGUAAGUCACAGGAAACAGUGGGGCAGGAGGGCAGGAUGUACUGCUAUUAGUAGAUAGUGGAAUUGAGAGAUCUUUGAAAGCUGCGUUACCAUAUUUGGAGAAGUUAUUGCAGGGUUAACGCUACCUCGGAGGAAAAA
Molecule: non-coding RNA, 2297 nt
Organism: Taeniopygia guttata (zebra finch)
Lineage: Eukaryota; Metazoa; Chordata; Aves; Passeriformes; Estrildidae
Source: RefSeq, a predicted model, not a curated record